CAUAACGACUCUCGGCAACGGAUAUCUCGGCUCUCGCAUCGAUGAAGAACGUAGCGAAAUGCGAUACUUGGUGUGAAUUGCAGAAUCCCGUGAACCAUCGAGUCUUUGAACGCAAGUUGCGCCCGAAGCCGUCAGGCCGAGGGCACGUCUGCCUGGGCGUCACGCA
RNAcentral lists this ribosomal RNA (166 nucleotides) under Solanum carolinense (ball nightshade). RNAcentral's name for it is "5.8S ribosomal RNA". It matches the Rfam family "5.8S ribosomal RNA". From Rfam's summary of the family: 5.8S ribosomal RNA (5.8S rRNA) is a component of the large subunit of the eukaryotic ribosome. It is transcribed by RNA polymerase I as part of the 45S precursor that also contains 18S and 28S rRNA. Functionally, it is thought that 5.8S rRNA may be involved in ribosome translocation. The record is from RNAcentral. Lineage: Eukaryota; Viridiplantae; Streptophyta; Magnoliopsida; Solanales; Solanaceae.